UACGUAGGGUGCGAGCGUUAAUCGGAAUUACUGGGCGUAAAGCGUGCGCAGGCGGUUCGUUAAGUCAGGUGUGAAAGCCCCGGGCUCAACCUGGGAACUGCAUUUGAAACUGGCGGGCUUGAGUGUGGCAGAGGGGGGUGGAAUUCCGCGUGUAGCAGUGAAAUGCGUAGAGAUGCGGAGGAACACCGAUGGCGAAGGCAGCCCCCUGGGCCAACACUGACGCUCAGGCACGAAAGCGUGGGGAGCAAACAGG
RNAcentral lists this ribosomal RNA (253 nucleotides) under uncultured bacterium. RNAcentral's name for it is "partial 16S ribosomal RNA". It matches the Rfam family "Bacterial small subunit ribosomal RNA", at positions 524 to 776 of the family's 1533-position model. The record is from RNAcentral.